Molecule: ribosomal RNA, 648 nt
Filed under: Candida tropicalis
Lineage: Eukaryota; Fungi; Ascomycota; Pichiomycetes; Serinales; Debaryomycetaceae
Description: LSU rRNA
Rfam family: Eukaryotic large subunit ribosomal RNA
Source: RNAcentral
AGUGGCCACCACAAUUUAUUUCAUAACUUUGACCUCAAAUCAGGUAGGACUACCCGCUGAACUUAAGCAUAUCAAUAAGCGGAGGAAAAGAAACCAACAGGGAUUGCCUUAGUAGCGGCGAGUGAAGCGGCAAAAGCUCAAAUUUGAAAUCUGGCUCUUUCAGAGUCCGAGUUGUAAUUUGAAGAAGGUAUCUUUGGGUCUGGCUCUUGUCUAUGUUUCUUGGAACAGAACGUCACAGAGGGUGAGAAUCCCGUGCGAUGAGAUGAUCCAGGCCUAUGUAAAGUUCCUUCGAAGAGUCGAGUUGUUUGGGAAUGCAGCUCUAAGUGGGUGGUAAAUUCCAUCUAAAGCUAAAUAUUGGCGAGAGACCGAUAGCGAACAAGUACAGUGAUGGAAAGAUGAAAAGAACUUUGAAAAGAGAGUGAAAAAGUACGUGAAAUUGUUGAAAGGGAAGGGCUUGAGAUCAGACUUGGUAUUUUGUAUGUUACUUCUUCGGGGGUGGCCUCUACAGUUUAUCGGGCCAGCAUCAGUUUGGGCGGUAGGAGAAUUGCGUUGGAAUGUGGCACGGCUUCGGUUGUGUGUUAUAGCCUUCGUCGAUACUGCCAGCCUAGACUGAGGACUGCGGUUUAUACCUAGGAUGUUGGCAUAAUG